AUUGAACGCUGGCGGCAGGCCUAACACAUGCAAGUCGAGCGCGCGGCGGACGGGUGAGUAAUGUCUGGGAAACUGCCUGUUGGAGGGGGAUAACUACUGGAAACGGUAUCUAAUACCGCAUACCAUCAGAUGUGCCCAGAUGGGAUUAGCUGGUAGCUGGGGUAACGGCUCACCUAGGCGACGAUCCCUAGCUGGUCUGAGAGGAUGACCAGACACACUGGAACUGAGACACGGUCCAGACUCCUACGGGAGGCAGCAGUGGGGAAUAUUGCACAAUGGGCGCAAGCCUGAUACAGCCAUGCCGCGUGUGUGAAGAAGGCCUUCGGGUUGUAAAGCACUUUCAGUGGGGAGGCGUUACCCGCAGAAGAAGCACCGGCUAACUCCGUGCCAGCAGCCGCGGUAAUUC
Molecule: ribosomal RNA, 406 nt
Filed under: uncultured bacterium
Lineage: Bacteria
Description: partial 16S ribosomal RNA
Rfam family: Bacterial small subunit ribosomal RNA
Source: RNAcentral